UACGAAGGGGGCUAGCGUUGCUCGGAAUGACUGGGCGUAAAGGGCGCGUAGGCGGGUCAGUUAGUCAGGCGUGAAAUUCCCGGGCUUAACCUGGGGGCUGCGUUUGAUACGGCUGGCCUUGAGUGGGGAAGAGGGUCGUGGAAUUCCCAGUGUAGAGGUGAAAUUCGUAGAUAUUGGGAAGAACACCGGUGGCGAAGGCGGCGACCUGGUCCUUGACUGACGCUGAGGCGCGAAAGCGUGGGGAGCAAACAG
Molecule: ribosomal RNA, 252 nt
Filed under: uncultured bacterium
Lineage: Bacteria
Description: partial 16S ribosomal RNA
Rfam family: Bacterial small subunit ribosomal RNA
Source: RNAcentral